RNAcentral lists this ribosomal RNA (552 nucleotides) under uncultured bacterium. RNAcentral describes it as "partial 16S ribosomal RNA". It matches the Rfam family "Bacterial small subunit ribosomal RNA", at positions 355 to 902 of the family's 1533-position model. The record is from RNAcentral.
UGGGGAAUUUUGGACAAUGGGCGAAAGCCUGAUCCAGCAAUGCCGCGUGUGUGAAGAAGGCCUUCGGGUUGUAAAGCACUUUUGUCCGGAAAGAAAUCCUUGGCUCUAAUACAGUCGGGGGAUGACGGUACCGGAAGAAUAAGCACCGGCUAACUACGUGCCAGCAGCCGCGGUAAUACGUAGGGUGCAAGCGUUAAUCGGAAUUACUGGGCGUAAAGCGUGCGCAGGCGGUUUGCUAAGACCGAUGUGAAAUCCCCGGGCUCAACCUGGGAACUGCAUUGGUGACUGGCAGGCUAGAGUAUGGCAGAGGGGGGUAGAAUUCCACGUGUAGCAGUGAAAUGCGUAGAGAUGUGGAGGAAUACCGAUGGCGAAGGCAGCCCCUGGGCCAAUACUGACGCUCAUGCACGAAAGCGUGGGGAGCAAACAGGAUUAGAUACCCUGGUAGUCCACGCCCUAAACGAUGUCAACUAGUUGUUGGGGAUUCAUUCCUUAGUAACGUAGCUAACGCGUGAAGUUGACCGCCUGGGGAGUACGGUCGCAAGAUUAAAACUU